Molecule: non-coding RNA, 180 nt
Filed under: Trichlorobacter lovleyi
Lineage: Bacteria; Pseudomonadati; Thermodesulfobacteriota; Desulfuromonadia; Geobacterales; Geobacteraceae
Also listed under: 1 other name
Source: RNAcentral
GCAGAAUAUACGAUCAACGGUGCCCAUACGGGCUUGAUAGGGAAGUGAGGUGAAACUCCUCCACGGACCCGCCGCUGUAAGCGAUGACAAAGGGCAACAAUGUCACUGAUCAAUUUGAUCGGGAAGACGCCCGGAGGAUGAUUCGCAAGUCAGAAGACCUGCCUUGAUCUUACAUCAUGA